AACUGGCUUAGUUAAGAGGCAGAGAUCAAAUCGUUUGAUCAAAUGUUGUAUUUGAUUAUUCAUAAUCCAAGGCCAUUUUGAGGGAACAAUCUCCGCAAUCUCACAACGAUUGUUCUCCAAGCAGCCUUAGACAUUU
Non-coding RNA from Jatropha curcas, 136 nucleotides. The record is from Rfam. NCBI's taxonomy places the organism in Eukaryota, Viridiplantae, Streptophyta, Magnoliopsida, Malpighiales, Euphorbiaceae.